Long non-coding RNA from Equus caballus (horse), 3096 nucleotides. NCBI's taxonomy places the organism in Eukaryota, Metazoa, Chordata, Mammalia, Perissodactyla, Equidae. The record is from Ensembl.
CGCGCCUCCCCGCUCGCCACGCCUCCUCACUCGCUCCGCCCCCCGCCCCCGAGCCAAUGGGGAAGCCCCAGACAUCCGCGUCAGGCGUGGCGGUGCCACCGUGUGGAGCGAGUGAAAGGGGCUGCAGGUUCAGACCGGCGUGAGGGGCGUGCCUGAGGCGGAUAACCGGGAUGCUGGCGCCUCGUGGGCGUCCACGACGACCCGGUUCCCCGCUGCCAAGUGCGCCCGGGGCUGUCCCCGCCAGGCCUCGUCCCUCCUGGGCGGGGGCGGCCGGUCAAACUCGCGCCGCGUCGGGCGCUCGGCCGGCGGAGGACGGUUUGUGCCGCCCUGGCCCACGAGGCUCUGGCGUCUUGGCAUCGCUUCUGUAGGGAGCCCGGACGGGACCGCUUAUGUGGGGCUCCGCGGAGGCUCUCGGAGGACGGCGGGCAGGGCCGCUCCCAGGGGAGACGCGCCCUGAGCCCGGGCAUGGGUCCCGGACAGCCUUCCGGGCGGCGGCGCGGCCCUGGCCCGCCGUGUCCGCUGAGGCCUGCGGGGCGCUGUCCUCGAGGGCCGGGGCGCGGGGCUCGCGGGCUGCACACUGCUUCUCGGUCCCUCCAUCCCCUCUGUCUCCGCUACCCAGCGGCGGGGGGCAGCCCUGGCGGCUGUCUCAGGCUCAGAGAGGCUGCCUGCUGUGCACACUGCGUGUGUCUGGGCUCCCUGCUCUCAGAGGUACAUGGGGUUUGAUGACUCUUUACCAGAACUCCUGUCCUUCCCUGGGUCCCUGGCCCAUAGGAUGGGAACGAGUACAGCAGUGUCUGAAAAUUAAGUUAGACAUUUUUCAUGCUGGUAGAUAUUUAGGGUGAAUAUUAAACAUGUACACAGAUGAAAAUAUUUAUCAAAAAAGCCAUAUACAUAAAGUGGGAGGAUGUACUAGGUGGAGUCAUAUAAUUAAAUGACAAGGUUCUUAGUUUGAGACUUCAGAAUGUUCUGUUGUAUACUUUUUAAGCAAAUAGCAGACUUUGUUGGAAAGACACAUUUCUCUUAUGGAGCUCAGUAUCCGGAACAAUAUAGUUGGUCCUGCAAGGAGCUAAAUGAGAACUGGAAAGUCAUUAGGUUCCAGGGCAGUACCGUCCCACACUUUUGGGGUCUUCCUCAUACUUUCCUAUGCAUUUAUGUCAUUUUCUCUUUGCAAACUGCCUGUCUAGCUGCUGUUGGCUUGCGGGGCAGAUAUUCUCCUCUGUACCUAGCUCCUUGUUUCAAGAACUAAAAGAGACUCCAUUCUCUAUCUAACUGUGAACUGUAUCUGAAAUUUUCCACGAAGUCAUAAAGUUAGAAGUAUUGUAGCUAAGAUGACUACAGCUUUGUUUCCGCUUAGUUGCUGUUUCUCAAGGAAGAGGCGAACAAUUGCCACUGUUGGAUAAUUCUGUAUAUGAAUGUGUUGUGAGCACAUUUCACAAUACCAAGUGUUAGAAAGUGCCCUUAAACCUUUAGUCUUCCUAGGCUACGUCUGGGAGACUCAGAAACAGAAACUUUUAUGGUUUCAACAGGCAGUGUUGCUUUUUUUUGGCUUCUCCUGGCAGUGUACUAUGUAAUGUGGCCACAGAGCUAUCAACGUACAGAUUAUAUCUAAUUAUAAAAUGUCAUAAGAAAAAGGAACAAACUGUUGACAUAUGCAAUGAUUUGGAUGGAGCUUAAGGCAUUGUACUGAGUGAAAAAAGCCAAUCUUCAAAGGCUGUGUGAUUGAUUCCAUUUAUACAGCAUUCUCAAAAUGACAACAUUAUAGAAAUUGAGAAGAGAUCCAUUUUUCCGUGGUCACAACUGGGGGUGGAGGGGGUGUGACUCUAAAGGGGUUGCAUGAGGGAAUUUCUCUGGGGUGAUAGAACAGUUCUGUGUCCUGAUUGUUGUCGUGGUUACAUGGAUUUUUAUGCAUGAAAAAACAUCAUAGAACUCUACACACAUCUAGGGAAUUUCAGUUCAAACUGGAAUUCUACUAAGUAGUUGAAUGGCUAAUGCUGUAUCCAUGUCAGUUUCCUGGUUUUGAUCACUGUGUUGUGCUCAUCCAUUGUAUGCCUCUACCACAUUUUAUUGAACCAUUCACCCAUUGAAGGACAUGUGGGUUGUUUCUAGUUUUUGACUGUUACAAAUAAAGCUGCUCUGAACACUCACAUACGGGUUUUUGUGUGCAUCUAUGUUUUCAUUUUUUAGUGUAAAUGCCCAGGAGUGCAACUGGUGUUUUCUACAUGGUUUUGGAAGAGUUGGACAUCCGUAGGCAAAAGGAAAAGAAAAAAAGUGGACCAAGGUGUAAACCUCAUGUCUUCUGCAAAAAUUAAUGUUAAAUGGAUUCAUUGGAUCAUCUUUUUUGUCUUCAUCCAAAACCAGUUGGUUUACACUGCAAACAGCAUUCCAAAAUGAAGAUGGGAGGAAACGAGUGAGCAUUUAGCUCCUGAGCCAAGCAGCAAGUUCCUGCCUACUUCCUCAUCGCCUGAGCAACCAGAGGCCACCACAGGCCUAGAGGACCCCUCUUCCUUCCCCAGAGGAGCUCUCCAGCCCCACACCUCCACUGCCGAAUUAUCACUUGGGAGCUGGAAAGCCAAGGAGUGCAAUUCUGCUUUUCAGGCAAUCAUGCUGAUCACAAAGAUUAUACCAAUAAUCCAGUCUGAUGCAGCCCUCAGACAGGCCCUGGUCUUGUGAAAUUCACAGAAAAUUCUAAUCAAAGGCCUGGGGAGGAUGGGGCAGCCACCAGCGUGGAAGCUGUCUGCACCUACCACCCUGACCCCAUGGCGUGUGAUGGAGAGUAUGACAGAGACAUCAGGUGACAGCAGCAUUCCAGGGAGCUUAACAAGCUGACUCACCGUGUCACCCGGAGGGGCCUCUACUCCCUGCUCAGGGACAGCCUUUUUGUCAGUGGACCUCUAAAACAUGCUGCCCCUGCCACUCAUUUGCCACCGAGGUCCGCCAACCAGACCAGACCUUGCUGACAAAUGCCCUGGCUGGACCCAUUCUGAGCACACCUGGAAGACUCUCCCUAAAUCCCACUCUGUCACGGCGCUCUUCCACCUACAACCAGCCAGGGAGACAUUCCCUCCAAGGCUCACACUGUGUGUGCCCAGUUCUGGG